CCUGAUGGCUCAGAUGGUAAAGCGUCUGUCUGCAACACAGGACACCUAAGUUCGAUCCCUGGGUCAGGA
RNAcentral lists this transfer RNA (69 nucleotides) under Ovis aries (sheep). It matches the Rfam family "tRNA". Rfam says of the family: Transfer RNA (tRNA) molecules are approximately 80 nucleotides in length. Their secondary structure includes four short double-helical elements and three loops (D, anti-codon, and T loops). Further hydrogen bonds mediate the characteristic L-shaped molecular structure. tRNAs have two regions of fundamental functional importance: the anti-codon, which is responsible for specific mRNA codon recognition, and the 3' end, to which the tRNAs corresponding amino acid is attached (by aminoacyl-tRNA synthetases). tRNAs cope with the degeneracy of the genetic code in two manners: having more than one tRNA (with a specific anti-codon) for a particular amino acid; and 'wobble' base-pairing, i.e. permitting non-standard base-pairing at the 3rd anti-codon position. Lineage: Eukaryota; Metazoa; Chordata; Mammalia; Artiodactyla; Bovidae. The record is from Rfam by way of RNAcentral.